AGAAUACGGGAGGGAGGAACCAACAGGGAUUGCCUUAGUAACGGCGAGUGAAGCGGCAACAGCUCAAAUUUGAAAGCUGGCCCUUUCGGGGUCCGCGUUGUAAUUUGUAGAGGAUGAUUCGGCGAGGGCUCCCUCCUAAGUCCCCUGGAACGGGGCGUCAUAGAGGGUGAGAAUCCCGUAUGCGGUGGGUUGCCUUAGCCAUGUGAAUCUCCUUCGACGAGUCGAGUUGUUUGGGAAUGCAGCUCUAAAUGGGAGGUAAAUUUCUUCUAAAGCUAAAUACCGGCCAGAGACCGAUAGCGCACAAGUAGAGUGAUCGAAAGAUGAAAAGCACUUUGGAAAGAGAGUUAAAAAGUACGUGAAAUUGUUGAAAGGGAAGCGCUUGCAACCAGACUUGUCCGCAGUUGCUCAGCCGGUCUCCUGACCGGCGUACUCUUCUGCGGCCAGGCCAGCAUCAGUUCGGGCGGUCGGAUAAAGGCCUCGGGAAUGUAGCUCCUCUCGGGGAGUGUUAUAGCCCGGGGCGGAAUGCGGCCAGCCUGGACUGAGGAUCUCGCUUCGGCAAGGAUGCUGGCGUAAUGGUUGUAAGCGGCCCGUCUUGAAACACGGACCAAGGAGUCUAACAUCUAUGCGAGUGUUUGGGUGUCAAACCCAUACGCGUAAUGAAAGUGAACGGAGGUGGGAACCCGCAAGGGUGCACCAUCGGCCGAUCCUGAUGUCUUCGGAUGGAUUUGAGCAAGAGCAUAGCUGUUGGGACCCGAAAGAUGGUGAACUAUGCCUGAAUAGGGUGAAGCCAGAGGAAACUCUGGUGGAGGCUCGCAGCGGUUCUGACGUGCAAAUCGAUCGUCAAAUUUGGGUAUAGGGGGCGAAAAGACUAAUCGAACCAUUAAGAAAGGUGUUUUUCGUUUUUGACUACUAAGGGGGUUAAAAAGGUAGCUUCAAAGUGUCUAUUCUAAGUCCCCUCCAUUCGGGGGCGAACACUGGUCAAAAUUGGUUCGGGGGAACGUUCCUUUAAAAAGCGCAAGGCUUACCGCGGGCCCGGGGCCCAAAAAGGGCCCGGGGGCCACCCCCCAGGGGGUAAUGGAACCUCCGGGGUAUGGGGAAAAAAAACCCCCCUGCCGAAUUGGGAACAAAUCCCGCCAAACCCAAAAGCUUCCUAAAAUUUCCCGGGGGGAAAACCGGGGGGAAUACCGGGAAAAAAGGGUUCCCCCGGACCUAA
Molecule: ribosomal RNA, 1213 nt
Filed under: Lasiodiplodia crassispora
Lineage: Eukaryota; Fungi; Ascomycota; Dothideomycetes; Botryosphaeriales; Botryosphaeriaceae
Description: partial large subunit ribosomal RNA
Rfam family: Eukaryotic large subunit ribosomal RNA
Source: RNAcentral